UACGUAGGGUGCGAGCGUUAAUCGGAAUUACUGGGCGUAAAGCGUGCGCAGGCGGUGAUGUAAGACAGAUGUGAAAUCCCCGGGCUCAACCUGGGAACUGCAUUUGUGACUGCAUCGCUGGAGUGCGGCAGAGGAGACUAGAAUUCCUGGUGUAGCAGUGAAAUGCGUAGAUAUCAGGAGGAAUACCGAUGGCGAAGGCAGGUCUCUGGGCUGACACUGACGCUCAUGCACGAAAGCGUGGGGAGCAAACAGG
This 253-nucleotide ribosomal RNA is filed under the name uncultured bacterium. Its description in RNAcentral is "partial 16S ribosomal RNA". It matches the Rfam family "Bacterial small subunit ribosomal RNA", at positions 524 to 776 of the family's 1533-position model. The record is from RNAcentral.